RNAcentral lists this ribosomal RNA (422 nucleotides) under uncultured bacterium. RNAcentral describes it as "bacterial SSU rRNA". It matches the Rfam family "Bacterial small subunit ribosomal RNA", at positions 28 to 426 of the family's 1533-position model. The record is from RNAcentral.
GAUGAACGCUGGCGGCGUGCCUAAUACAUGCAAGUCGAACGAAAUUAUUUUAAUAGAAGAUUACUUGUAAUUGGAAGUUAAAUUAAUUUAGUGGUGAACGGGUGAGUAAUACAUAAGUAAUCUGCCCUUAAGGACCGGGAUAACUGUUGGAAACGAUGGCUAAUACCGGAUAAGUAAUUGGAAGGCAUCUUCUAAUUAUUAAAGCUUAAAUACACACAAGGAUGAGCUUAUGGUGCAUUAGCUAGUUGGUGGGUAACGGCCUACCAAGGCUGUGAUGCAUAGCCGACCUGAGAGGGUGAUCGGCCACACUGGGACUGAGACACGGCCCAGACUCCUACGGGAGGCAGCAGUAGGGAAUUUUCGGCAAUGGGGGCAACCCUGACCGAGCAACGCCGCGUGAGUGAUGAAGGUCGCAAGAUUGU